Molecule: ribosomal RNA, 495 nt
Filed under: uncultured bacterium
Lineage: Bacteria
Description: partial 16S ribosomal RNA
Rfam family: Bacterial small subunit ribosomal RNA
Source: RNAcentral
GAUGAACGCUGGCGGCGUGCCUAAUACAUGCAAGUAGAACGCUGAAGGAGGAGCUUGCUCUUCUGGAUGAGUUGCGAACGGGUGAGUAACGCGUAGGUAACCUGCCUGGUAGCGGGGGAUAACUAUUGGAAACGAUAGCUAAUACCGCAUGACAACAGUUAUUGCAUGAUAACUGUUUAAAAGGGGCAACUGCUCCACUACCAGAUGGACCUGCGUUGUAUUAGCUAGUUGGUGAGGUAACGGCUCACCAAGGCGACGAUACAUAGCCGACCUGAGAGGGUGAGCGGCCACACUGGGACGGAGACACGGCCCAGACUCCUACGGGAGGCAGCAGGAGGGAAUCUUCGGCAAUGGACGGAAGGCUGACCGAGCAACGCCGCGGGAGGGAAGAAGGGUUUCGGAUCGUAAAGAUCUGUUGUAAGAGAAGAACGAGUGUGAGAGUGGAAAGUUCACACUGUGACGGUAUCUUACCAGAAAGGGACGGCUAACUACGUG